RNAcentral lists this ribosomal RNA (271 nucleotides) under uncultured prokaryote. RNAcentral's name for it is "partial 16S ribosomal RNA". It matches the Rfam family "Bacterial small subunit ribosomal RNA", at positions 524 to 794 of the family's 1533-position model. The record is from RNAcentral.
CACGUAGGAGGCAAACGUUAUCCGGAUUUACUGGGCGUAAAGCGCGUGUAGGUGGUUCUGUAAGUAGGGCGUGAAAGCUCCCGGCUCAACUGGGAGAUGCCGUUCUAAACUGCAGAGCUAGAGGAUGGUUGAGGGAGGUGGAAUUCCAGGUGUAGCGGUGGAAUGCGCAGAUAUCUGGAGGAACACCAGUGGCGAAGGCGGCCUCCUGGACCAUUCCUGACACUCAGACGCGAAAGCUAGGGUAGCAAACGGGAUUAGAUACCCCUGUAGU